RNAcentral lists this ribosomal RNA (391 nucleotides) under uncultured bacterium. RNAcentral describes it as "partial 16S ribosomal RNA". It matches the Rfam family "Bacterial small subunit ribosomal RNA", at positions 524 to 918 of the family's 1533-position model. The record is from RNAcentral.
UACGUAGGGGGCGAGCGUUGUCCGGAUUUAUUGGGCGUAAAGGGUGCGUAGGCGGCCUUGUAAGUCAGAUGUGAAAGAUCAUGGCUUAACUGUGGUAAGCAUUUGAAACUGCAGGGCUUGAGUACAGGAGAGGAGAGUGGAAUUCCUAGUGUAGCGGUGAAAUGCGUAGAUAUUAGGAGGAAUACCAGUGGCGAAGGCGACUCUCUGGACUGAUACUGACGCUGAGGCACGAAAGCGUGGGGAGCAAACAGGAUUAGAUACCCUGGUAGUCCACGCUAUAAACGAUGAGUGCUAGGUGUCGGGGGUCAAACCUCGGUGCCGCAGUUAACACAUUAAGCACUCCGCCUGGGGAGUACGGCCGCAAGACUGAAACUCAAAGGAAUUGACGGGG